GACGAACGCUGGCGGCGUGCUUAACACAUGCAAGUCGAACGGAAAGGCCCUGCUUUGGUGGGGUGCUCGAGUGGCGAAAGGGUGAGUAACACGUGAGUAACCUGCCCUUGACUUUGGGAUAACUUCAGGAAACUGGGGCUAAUACCGGAUAGGAGCACCUGCUGCAUGGUGGGGGUUGGAAAGUUUCGGCGGUUGGGGAUGGACUGGCGGCUUAUCAGGUUGUUGGUGGGGUAGCGGCUUACCAAGGCUGUGGCGGGUAGCCGGCCUGAGAGGGUGACCGGCCACAUGGGGCCUGAGGUACGGCCCAGACUCCUACGGGAGGCAGCAGUGGGGAAUAUUGCACAAUGGGCGGAAGCCUGAUGCAGCAACGCCGCGUGCGGGAUGACGGCCUUCGGGUUGUAAACCGCUUUCGCCUGUGACGAAGCGUGAGUGACGGUAAUGGGUAAAGAAGCACCGGCUAACUACGUG
This 468-nucleotide ribosomal RNA is filed under the name uncultured bacterium. RNAcentral describes it as "partial 16S ribosomal RNA". It matches the Rfam family "Bacterial small subunit ribosomal RNA", at positions 28 to 507 of the family's 1533-position model. The record is from RNAcentral.